UACAGAGGUCCCAAGCGUUGUUCGGGUUCAUUGGGCGUAAAGGGUGUGUAGGUGGCGCCGUAAGUGGGGUGUGAAAUCUCGGGGCUUAACUCCGAAACUGCAUUCCAUACUGCGGUGCUUGAGGACUGGAGAGGAGACUGGAAUUCAUGGUGUAGCAGUGAAAUGCGUAGAGAUCAUGAGGAAGACCAGUGGCGAAGGCGGGUCUCUGGACAGUUCCUGACACUGAGACACGAAGGCCAGGGGAGCAAACGGG
RNAcentral lists this ribosomal RNA (253 nucleotides) under uncultured bacterium. RNAcentral's name for it is "partial 16S ribosomal RNA". It matches the Rfam family "Bacterial small subunit ribosomal RNA", at positions 524 to 776 of the family's 1533-position model. The record is from RNAcentral.